CAGGACUCGCAAGACUCCUACAACCCUGUGAACUUCACUACAAGCACGUUGCUUCGGCGGGUGUCUCGGCGGAGGUCCCCACUGGGGACCUGCGCAGGGGCGCGAAGCCCGCCGGCAGCCUACUAUGCUCUGUCUCUUUGCGUUGGCAUCUCGAGAAAAAGCAAACAAGUUA
Molecule: unclassified non-coding RNA, 172 nt
Filed under: soil metagenome
Description: partial internal transcribed spacer 1
Source: RNAcentral